Molecule: ribosomal RNA, 440 nt
Filed under: uncultured bacterium
Lineage: Bacteria
Description: partial 16S ribosomal RNA
Rfam family: Bacterial small subunit ribosomal RNA
Source: RNAcentral
CCUACGGGAGGCUGCAGUGGGGAAUAUUGCACACUGGGGGAAACCCUGAUGCAGCGACGCCGCGUGAGUGCAGAAGUAUUUCGGUAUGUAAAGCUCUAUCAGCAGGGAAGAGAAUGACGGUACCUGAGUAAGAAGCCCCGGCUAACUACGUGCCAGCAGCCGCGGUAAUACGUAGGUGGCAAGCGUUGUCCGGAUUUACUGGGUGUAAAGGGCGUGCAGCCGGAGAGACAAGUCAGAUGUGAAAUCCACGGGCUCAACCCGUGAACUGCAUUUGAAACUGUUUCCAUUGAGUGUCGGAGAGGUAAUCGGAAUUGCUUGUGGAGCGGUGAAAUGCGUAGAUAUAAGGAAGAACACCAGUGGCGAAGGCGGAUUACUGGACGAUAACUGACGGUGAGGCGCGAAAGCGUGGGGAGCAAACAGGAUUAGAUACCCCUGUAGUC